This 1025-nucleotide long non-coding RNA is filed under the name Mus spicilegus (steppe mouse). RNAcentral's name for it is "lncRNA (ENSMSIG00000000337.1)". The record is from RNAcentral. Lineage: Eukaryota; Metazoa; Chordata; Mammalia; Rodentia; Muridae.
GAAAGCUUCAACACCUGGUUUAUUAUCAGGCACUGAUGGGCGCCUCUGGAAAGUGGAAGGAACUAAGACAAACAGAAGGACCAGCCGGUCUGGUCCAGAGCUGCUUUUCUCUCACUUGGGGCUGCCUGCUGUACAAUUCAGUCUGGGUUUCCGAUGAUGAGCUGAAGUCUUCUGGCCACUGAGCUCCUGAAAGGCUGGUAGGAAAACCCUGCACAUACGUGCCUUUUAGACCCCUGUAAGGAAAGUGCAAGGGCUCUCUUUGGGCAGAGCUGGCAGGGAUGGCCAAGAUUAGGGAGGGUCUGGGAACAGAGACUUGGGGGAAAACUCUGCCACCCCAGCCUGCCUGCCCCUCAUGGUCUCCCUGAGACAGUUUCUCUACAGUCAGAGCACCUGCAUGCACCUACUGUCCCCAGAGCUUUCGGAAAGGACGCAUGGCUAGCAGCCACCCCUCGCCGGAACCUUUGCCCAGGUUGCCUGAGUGCGUGGUUGGGAGGAGCUGGGGGCAAGAAGCAGGGAUCGUCGGGCAGAGUAGGGGUCGGGAAAGUGGGGCCGAAGUGGAAGCGGCUUCGUUGCUACGAGCAGCCCUAGCAACGCACCCAUUCAGCAGAGACAAAGGCACAGAGGCGCUGCAGUGGCUCUUGUUCUCGCAGACCGUUGUGCUUGCGGGUGGGGGCGGGGUGGAGGGGGGGUUGGGCCUGUCGGGUGAGGGGCGGCUGCGCGCUCUGAUCUUGCCUAGCCCUGCGCCCCUGAUCUGCCUGCAGGGGGCGCUUCGGCCCCUUUUAGCGGACCAGAAGCUGAACAUUCAAGGCUGCCUGCCACAAACCUUGGUCUGUGGAUCACACCCCUAUGACUAUUGCUACGUCUCAGAUGCCGCAUCUGUACAGGUCUCUUCAAUCUGCUUCGAGGGGUUUGCUCACCUCUGCAUCCUUGCCUCCUUUGAGCCAUUAGUGGCCUCGUGCCCCCAGGGUAUGCUGGAAGACUCUUGAGGUAAACCAGGUGUGGAUGACCAUGACUUCAGCGAGGCC